UGGCGCAACAAAGAGAACGGGAGAACUACUGUGUAUCCUGGGUGCAGCCUGACAGGCAGCUCAACCUGGAUAACGACCUGAAAGAAAUCGCGGGAUCCCGAGCAUGCUUCUAGAAAGGCUUGAUCAAAAGGCCUAGCAAAGAAUAUCUGGGUGUUUCUGAAGGGCUAUCCCUGCCCCAUCAGAUGUAUUUUAGGUUCAGAUGUGUGGAUAGUUACGGAGAUAUAUAUCACAAUUGCUGACAUUGUGGGAAUUUCAGCUUGUAGCUGCUGCUGGUCGAUCUGCGCCUUGCUGGGUCGGCGCACGGUAACAAAAAUAGCUAGCCGUCAUAUGAGCAAUAUGAACAACAUCAUAC
Molecule: small RNA, 352 nt
Filed under: Histoplasma capsulatum
Lineage: Eukaryota; Fungi; Ascomycota; Eurotiomycetes; Onygenales; Ajellomycetaceae
Also listed under: 1 other name
Description: hypothetical RNA
Source: RNAcentral